UACGUAGGUCCCGAGCGUUGUCCGGAUUUAUUGGGCGUAAAGCGAGCGCAGGUGGUUUAUUAAGUCUGGUGUAAAAGGCAGUGGCUCAACCAUUGUAUGCAUUGGAAACUGGUAGAUUUGAGUGCAGGAGAGGAGAGUGGAAUUCCAUGUGUAGCGGUGAAAUGCGUAGAUAUAUGGAGGAACGCCGGUGGCGAAAGCGGCUCUCUGGCCUGUAACUGACACUGAGGCUCGAAAGCGUGGGGAGCAAACAGG
RNAcentral lists this ribosomal RNA (252 nucleotides) under uncultured bacterium. RNAcentral's name for it is "partial 16S ribosomal RNA". It matches the Rfam family "Bacterial small subunit ribosomal RNA", at positions 524 to 776 of the family's 1533-position model. The record is from RNAcentral.